This 497-nucleotide ribosomal RNA is filed under the name uncultured bacterium. RNAcentral describes it as "partial 16S ribosomal RNA". It matches the Rfam family "Bacterial small subunit ribosomal RNA", at positions 28 to 507 of the family's 1533-position model. The record is from RNAcentral.
GAUGAACGCUGGCGGCGUGCCUAAUACAUGCAAGUCGAGCGAACGGACGAGAAGCUUGCUUUUCUGAUGUUAGCGGCGGACGGGUGAGUAACACGUGGAUAACCUACCUAUAAGACUGGGAUAACUUCGGGAAACCGGAGCUAAUACCGGAUAAUAUUUUGAACCGCAUGGUUCAAAAGUGAAAGACGGUCUUGCUGUCACUUAUAGAUGGAUCCGCGCUGCAUUAGCUAGUUGGUAAGGUAACGGCUUACCAAGGCAACGAUGCAUAGCCGACCUGAGAGGGUGAUCGGCCACACUGGAACUGAGACACGGUCCAGACUCCUGCGGGAGGCAGCAGUAGGGAAUCUUCCGCCAUGGGCGAAAGCCUGACGAAGCAACGCCGCGUGAGUGAUGAAGGUCUUCGGAUCGUAAAACUCUGUUAUUAGGGGAGACCAUAUGUGUAAGUAACUGUGCGCAUCUUGACGGUACCUAAUCAGAAAGCCACGGCUAACUACGUG